This 500-nucleotide ribosomal RNA is filed under the name bacterium enrichment culture. Its description in RNAcentral is "bacterial SSU rRNA". It matches the Rfam family "Bacterial small subunit ribosomal RNA", at positions 355 to 875 of the family's 1533-position model. The record is from RNAcentral.
UGGGGAAUAUUGGACAAUGGGCGCAAGCGUGAUCCAGCCAUGCCGCGUGAGUGAUGAAGGUCUUAGGAUUGUAAAGCUCUUUUGCCAGGGAAGAUAAUGACGGUACCUGGAAAAUAAGCCCCGGCUAACUUCGUCCCAGCAGCCGCGGUAAUACGGAGGGGGCGAGCGUUUUUGGGAAUUACUGGGUGUAAAGCGCGCGUAGGGUGUGUGAUAAGUCAGGUGUGAAAUCCCGGGGCUCAACCUGGGAAGUGCCUUUGAUACUGUCAGUCUUGAGUCCGGAAGAGGAGAGUGGAAUUCCCAGUGUAGAGGUGAAAUUCGUAGAUAUUGGGAAGAACACCAGUGGCGAAGGCGGCUCUCUGGUCCGGUACUGACGCUGAGGCGCGAAAGCGUGGGGAGCAAACAGGAUUAGAUACCCUGGUAGUCCACGCCGUAAACUAUGGAUGCUAGCCGUCGGCAAGCUUGCUUUCGGUGUCGCAGCUAACGCGUAAGCACACCGCCUG